Molecule: long non-coding RNA, 776 nt
Organism: Acromyrmex echinatior (Panamanian leafcutter ant)
Lineage: Eukaryota; Metazoa; Arthropoda; Insecta; Hymenoptera; Formicidae
Source: RefSeq, a predicted model, not a curated record
AUGAAGAAUCAUAUAAAGAAGUGAUGAAUUAUUUUCUACAUGUGAGCGGUUGAAGAAGCUGUCAAUCUUUUUUUUAAGGAAGCAAUGCAGGACAAUUUAACUAUAAAAUUUUUACAUGAUGGUUUGGCCGGGAGGAAGGUCUACUGUGACCAUAGUCCACCAACCUACCUUAGGACUUUGCCUCUAAGAUAAGAAUAGAAGUGAGACUAGAUUCUAUUUAGACUCAUUUUCGAACCUUAUAAUGUAACCAUAGUCCACCAACCUACCUUAGGACUUUGCCUCUAAGAAUAGAAGUGAGACUUUAGAAUAAGAUUAGACUCUAUUGGAACCUUAUAAAAGAAAACCCUCAGACUGCAGAGGCAGUCUUCGAUAUAUUGCGAAAGUAGUUACGUCUCUAAAAAUUUUCCAAGUGACAAUUGUAAAAAAAAGAAAAGAGAAUACAAUAAAGAUAAUUUUUUAUUUUGAAAUUGUUAUCACAAAUCUUACACUACAUCCUUCGUACAAUACACAUAUUAUAAAGACGAUUUAUGUGAAACAACGUCAUCGCACAAGUAUUCGCAUACUACGUGAUCGAGAGCGUCGAACCGAGAAGCCAGAAAUUAUUGGAAUGAACAAAACGAGUAAUAUGAACACGUCGAGGAAUAAAUAGAAGAAGAAGACCCACUAUAAAUUGAUAAUUUAACGGACAAUUAAUAUUUUAACGGAUUAAUAAUUUAAUGGACUUCCAUUUAACGGAUUGUAUGGAAUACAUUUUUAAUAAAAUGUUAACAAAUCAA